AGCGAACGCUGGCGGCAGGCUUAACACAUGCAAGUCGAGCGGGCGUAGCAAUACGUCAGCGGCAGACGGGUGAGUAACGCGUGGGAACGUACCUUUUGGUUCGGAACAACACAGGGAAACUUGUGCUAAUACCGGAUAAGCCCUUACGGGGAAAGAUUUAUCGCCGAAAGAUCGGCCCGCGUCUGAUUAGCUAGUUGGUGAGGUAACGGCUCAC
This 214-nucleotide ribosomal RNA is filed under the name uncultured bacterium. Its description in RNAcentral is "partial 16S ribosomal RNA". It matches the Rfam family "Bacterial small subunit ribosomal RNA", at positions 29 to 268 of the family's 1533-position model. The record is from RNAcentral.